Molecule: long non-coding RNA, 18773 nt
Filed under: Podarcis lilfordi (Lilford's wall lizard)
Lineage: Eukaryota; Metazoa; Chordata; Lepidosauria; Squamata; Lacertidae
Source: RNAcentral
CAGAUUUAAGGAUGGGUUACCAGCACACAAGGGCUACAUUGAUCAUAGAUUAUAACACAGAAGAAUUACAGAGGAAGAUACAGUAAACCACAGACAGGUAAUGAUGAGAUGAUGAGAUGACAGCUUGGAGAGAAUAUGGAUGUAAGUACAGCUGGGAGAGUUAGAGUUUGACAAAAGCUAUGGUGUAAGUGAUUUUGAAACCAGGAGCGAGAUUAUUGUUCAGCCAAUAUGUUCUUGAAAUUUUCUGCUGGAGAGCAAUGCAAAUUAACUUGUUUUCCAUGCAGACAGUACUAAAGAGAGCAACUUAGCCAGUUAGUGCCAUGUCGCAUCAAGUACUUACUUUUUUUUCUUUGGGCAUUAAUACCUUUUGCAUCAGGUUUUGUGUGUCACAACCUCAAUGGAGUUUACCUAGUCUGUGACAUCCCUUGUUGUUUUGAUUUAAUGAACUGUAUUCUAAUGUCCUCAGUUGCCCAACAUGGAGCUCAGGUUGAUAGGAAUUGAAGAAAAACAUCAGAAUAUAAAAUGUGACAGUCUGUAACAUAUAUAAGUUGCAAGCAACAUACAGUAAUAAAAAAACAAAUAGUGAGAAAGAGAGAGAGAGAGAGAGAGAGAAAGAGAAACAUGAAGAACAUAUAAAAAACUUAAUUUGUUACUACACAGCAGUUGUGUUGAUUUUUAGCUAUCCCAAAACUUUACAGUUUUAAUGUAAUAUAUACAAAGAGGUAUUUUUUAUCAGUGCUGUCAUUUUUUAAAAGCCUUAUAUUUUUUUUGUAUAUUUUAAAAUGCACUUUGAUGUCAUCUGCAUACCAUAGACUUUAUGCUGGCAGAAUUUAGCUUAGCAUGCUAAACCCAGAGGCCCUUAAACCCAACCUACCUGUGAGUAUUUACUCACCAAAGUGUUGGACUGGAUCCCUCCAGGAAGUGUAGGUCUCAAUAAAGGUACUUCAGGGAAUAAUCUCUCACAAACCUUAUUGGCCAACGCUGUGACCUCCCUCCUAGACAAUACCACCAUUUAGAGGCACUGUUUCUUGGAGUGAGGUGACAUGUUGGUUUACUGACAUCUGGAGACAAGGGGUCAAAAUGUGAAGGUCAGGCAGUCUUUCUUUGACAGGUGACUCUGGAAAGGUGCAAUCCUGAAAAAAAUGUUGUUCCUGGAAGCACUUUCCUUCCAAAAAUGUACCUCAGAACCAGAGGUGGUCUUGCAGUACUUACAGCCUCACUCACAGUGGUACUGUACCUAUGAAAUCAAACUAAAAUUAUAGUAGUUUCAUAGUAGGAUGCUAUAGUCAAAGAACAGGUCAGAUAUCUGGGGAUAUUUCACUGUGCUGCCUAACAUAGCAGGGAGAGAUAAUCAUUGCAGAAGCCACCUCUCCAAGCCACCACUUAAGAUCUUACAGCACCACCCUCCGACUUGAGUUUCAGUCUUAGGUAAUAAAUAACUACAAUAUGAUGAUCUGUAGAAUAUGAAAUGUAUGCCAUUCAAGGAGCAGAGAUGACUGUGAAGGACCACGAGGGCAGAAAUGGUUUUGUUUUAUGAAAGCAACAAGUACAGAAAGACUUUGGUUGAAGUUUACAUCAUGUAUAAAAUAGUAAGAAGUACACCAAGACUUGAGUUCCACACAAAACCCCAUUUGUUUGUUUUUGUUGCUGUAUAAACAGCCAUAAUUUGUUCUGUGCAUAAGCAGUAAUGUGGUGGUGAUUUACUACGGUAUCCAAAAUUCAAAUGAUCAGGUCUUCAGCUCCCCAUUUAUAAAAGUGAAAAAAUGCAAAGGCAUUGCAAGGACUGAUUUCUUUUAAAACCCUGAAAAGCUUUCAGUGAGACCACUAUUUUGAAAAUGAUUUCCUUGGCUCUGCCUAUAGCCAAUAAAAUUUGUCAGACCCUGACAUUACAGCAGUGAUGUCAAUUUACCUCAGUGCAGAAGGUCAUAGCUGUCAUAGCUUGUCAUAGUUGUCAAUGUAAUCUGUAUUUGCCCCACUGUCAGUGGGCAAAUGGCUUUGUGGGAUGUCACACAAGGAAGAAUUCCUCAUUUUCCACCUGCUCAUUUCAUUUGGGUGACUGACAUUCAUACUCAUUAACACCAGUCAGUAAAAUUUCUUAGCUGCACUGUGCUCCUUGCAAAGCAUCAAACUAUGGGUAGACAAUUGUCCAGUUUUGAUAGUUAAGGGCUCAGAAUACAAUAGCUUCUGUUCCUUAACUACACAUGGGGUAAAUCAACUAGUAGGAUAUAAAACCUCAUUGAUGUAAAAUUCCUUUAACACAAGUAGCAGAUUUAUGUUUCAGCCCUGAAAGCGAAGGUUCAGGUGAUAGUCGAUAAUAUGGUCACUGAACUGUUUUGCUAUUAAGUAUUGAAAUAUGAAAUAUAUUGAAGGAGCUCCUGGCACUUUGAGUUUAAAAACUAUUUGAUUUAUUCCAGGUAGUCAAACUAGGUCAGGAUGAGCAAAGGUUUUCAAAGGAUGGUGCAGGUUCUGUGCCAGGUUUUUUGGCUGGCUGGCUGGGUGGGUGGAAUAAAGGUUGAGGGGUGGGGAGGGACAUUUUUUGUGGAAGUUUUAUUCAUUUAUUUAUUUCAUAAUAUUCAUACUCCCUUGAUUCUAAAAGAAACCCUCAAGAUUGUUCCUACUCCUUAUUGAGAGAACACAGGCAGAGUGGUAAUGCUGAUUCAGAGCUGUGUGUUUCUUUAACAUCUCAGCACUGAUUAAGUCUGAAAACCCCACAAAUCUAAGUUACUAAAAUCUCCAUGCCUUUUUUUUUUAAUUGAAGGCCCAGAAAUGAGCAGACUCUUAUGUGACUUUAAGUGACCAGAAAAAUAACGGAGAUGCAUAAUCUCUCCCCCCAGUCCUGAUGAGACAUCAGGAAAGGUAUGGGUUCUACUACGGUCAUGCUGAUUUUUGUAAUUCAUUUUCAAAUGGGAAAAAAAAUCUGACUCUAUUAUGCAUGUUAUACAGUGGUACCUCGCAAGACGAAUGCCUCGCAAGACGGAAACCUCGCAAAACGAAAGGGUUUUUGGUUUUUUGAGUUGCUUCGCAAGACGAUUUUCCCUAUGGGCUUGCUUCGCAAGAUGGAAACGUCUUGCAAGUUUGUUUCCUUUUUCUUAAAACCGUUAAUACAGUUGCGACUUGACUUCGAGGAGCAACUCAUAGCACGCGGUGUGGUAGCCUUUUUUGAGGUUUUUGAAGACUUUGGUGAUUUUUGAAGCUUUUCCAAAGCUUUUCUGACACCGUGCUUCGCAAGACGAAAAAAACCGCAAGACGAAAAAACUCGCAGAACGAAUUAAUUUCGUCUUGCGAGGCACCACUGUAUAAGCAUACUACAAACCUGAACACAGGAAUGAUUUCACCAACUAUGGUGUGUUAAGUGUGGGCUAGGCCUUAGGUCUGAAACUAGUCUAGUUUCCAUAAAAAGUUUAGAAAUAAAAUACAGAUAGGUAAAUGUACAUAUAGGAAGAGAGGCAGCUCCCUUAUUCUGAGCCAGACCACUGGUCCAUCUAGCUCAGCAUUGUCUACAGGGACUAGGCAGCUUUGAAAGGUUUCUGGAUGAAGGUUUUCCCCAGACCUUGGUGAUGCAACCUGGGCCCUUCUGCAUGCAAAUGAUGCGCUUUGCCACUGAGCUAGGGCCCUUUCCACAAUGUACUGCUACAUUCAUUUACGUCCACUAACUUUGUGGGGUUAUACUUAUAUGCAGCUAUGGUCCGGAAUCACCUUUCAAUAAGGCAAAACAGUUAUUUUAUUUUUAAAGUAAACUAUCACUUAUGAGGUAGUGCAAUGCAGUAGCAUUACUGGUUGUUCCAAUUUUAAGUGAGCCACAAAGGCACAGAGAUCGAGACUGUCAUACAGGAACCUGCACGCUCACCUGAGCUGAAUCAGCACAAGAAAAAGUGGUUAUUCUGUUAAUUCUGAGUGCUGAAUUCAUUCCUGUAUGUCUUAUAGACACAUAUCCUUAGGCAAUUCUGAGGUGCAGAAAGCAUGAAACUACAGCCUACACUUCUCUUCACCUGCAGACCUCUCUACGAGAUCUGGUGGGGCCAUUUUACUCUCUCCAGCAUUCUGCGAGUUUUAGCUGUACCACUCUAAAACUCAAUAGGGGAAUAUAUAUAACUUAACAUGGUGGCUCUUUCCAUAUAAAGGUUAGGGUGCAGAGAACCUGAGUAGGCACUUAGAAAGUGCUUCUGUACUGUAAUUUCACUGGUGCUGGCAGUAAGGACAGUUGGGUGGGGUUAUUUACAUUUAAUUCAAUGUCUAUUAACACCCAGACCAAAAGAAUCCACUCUGGAUUCACAGUAGACUAGAAACUACACUAAAGCUGGUCAGAGUGUUACUAAUGUGCCAUGUACAGGCUACUCAUUAAGUUUGCAUCUCCAGCAACUCUGUAAUGUUUAGCAAUUGGUUCUUAUAUGAUUUACAGAACCAGAUAGUAACUGAUCACUGUUGAAGUCUUUACAAAGAAAGAAUUGUAUUUUCCUUUCUAUUGGAAGGCAAAAACCUUUUGGCUUUGUUUUUAACAUUCAUUGCUGACACUAUCCAUCCCUGGUACUGAGCCAGAUGAGAUUCCCUUUGGCAUCUCCUUUCCUCCAAGUUCUGUGCUGCCCAACCCCUAGGAAUAAGUCAGAAGUCUGAGUGUGGUCUACUAGUGAUGACUGCAGCAGGCCACUUGCACGCAGACAAUGGGUUGUGCAGUGCCAAUUUGAGAAAAACAACAAUGUCCCUGAAUAUUAUAAACCCCUCACCACAAUGCCUUACAACCCUCCCCCAAAUAAAAUAUGCAAGUUUUGCUUUAGGCUGCACCAAAUGAAUGAGUAGGUCCUGUAAUCCAACCGAAUUAAACAAAGUACAAAUGGGCUCUGGAGCUGAUGACAAGCAGAUACGCAUUAAGGUUCACACAUGCAAGCUGGCCACAUCUUUUCUCCAUGUGAUCCUUCUCAUGUAUAGGACUGAAUGGCGACCCCUCCAUGUGAGCUGGGCUGCACCUAAGUGCUGCUCCAGUCACACACAGACAAAUGGCUGCUGGAGCAGUUCGGUUCAUACUUUCCCACAUACAAGAAGAAUCACAUCAGAGGUAACAGGUGGCCAUCAGGACCUUUUAUGCACAGGGACUUCAUGUGAGUUCAGAGCAUUCAUGAGAACACAGUGGUUCCACACUGCACCAUGGAUACACAAUCUGCCACGAUCUCAUUGGGCAGUUGGAUGUAUGUGACACGCUGCUUCAUGAGUGUCCUCUUAUCCUCCGUACUUCACAGAAACGUAAACCAUUCCUAUUUACUCAUGAAGAAGGUGCUCCAUUGCUUUGUGAUGGUAUUGUGAUAAGCAUUUGCAACCUGAGGAGAAUGGACAGCAAAAACCACAUAGGUGUGCGCGCAAAGGGUAAAAUAGUAAAGAGGCAGUCAUUGCAUGGAUUGUGGCCAGCCUGGUGCAAUGGAAGUCUUCAAAUCAAACUAAAGGGUUAACCAAAAACAAAAAAACAAAACAAACAAACCCACAGCAAAAUAUAGUGACAAAAAUGAAAGCUCUUUACCAUCUGUAUGGAAUAUUACAGAGUUCUGCAAAGGAACAAAGUUAAUUUUCUGCCAUCACUUUCCCAUCUCUUAAAAAAAAUAAUAUCAGCAUUUGGCACUGGUGAAGCCACACACACAAAGGAAAGUCACGCUUCUUUUGUGUUCUUUCAAUAGCAUCCACAUGCAUGGCUAUGAAAUGGAUAGAGGAGGUUUUUCACCCACAUGGAGUGAUAAAUUAGUUUUCUGCCAAAAAUAAAUAAACAUAUAAAUGAUACUGCAAGACCAUCAUAAUUAUAAACUGGUUCCUUAAACGUAUCCCUCACUACUAAAGUUUAGUAUGAAUCACUGUAUAAAUGACUUUUAUCGCAAUAUAUCCCAAUGGGAAGUAUCUUUUAAAAAUAGGCUGAAGGUUGCAUAUGGCUGCAACCAAUGCUUGUUUCACCGGCCAAAAUAAUUUGUGUUUAUUAUGUUUAAAACUACUAUUUCCCCCCACAGAAUUGGUCAAUGAUAUUCCAUGGGUAGAGGUAGAUUAUGGGGUUGAAGUGAUCAUAUCAAAGCCCUGUAACUUUGUGUGCUCUUUGAGGAGUCUCAUAAAACUGAGAUAGUCCCAUAACUAACCACUAGCCAUGGGAUAUUAUAAUAUAUUCCAUGAUGACUAGUAUUUUUAUUCCCCACCCCCAAUGUUGAACUAAUAUGAAAUAUAGUUUAGUCUGACUGGGAAUAUUUUCUUAUUGCUGUCAUUUAUCACUAUAAUUAACAAAUAAUCAUAAUAAAGUACCCUGUGAGAUUAUCGCUCAUGGCUCUUCAGAAUAAGUCUGCACAAAAUGGUCAAUGUUCUCCCCUUUUCAGUCAGCCUUUACUGUGAGGAGGGUUGAAGGAGCUGUAGACUGUGGACCUUUUGUGAGAAGACAUUGAUGCUCCUCCUGUUCAGAGCUAUAAAUGCUAAGCUUCCAUGUUGAUUAAGUCGCUACUUGUUACAAAAUUGGUUGGGUCGCGUGAUGUGGAAUAAACACCCUUACAUUUCGCCUUGUUCCCUUCUGAAUCACAUUGUGUUUCUGUGGGAAGUCUAAGCUAUCAUUCUAAUGGGUGGCUAACCAUCUGAAAAAAAAAUACAUGGUUGUCUCAUGAAAUCUGCAUGUAUUGAUGUAAGUUUAUCCUUUAAGGAGGCACCUGGUUUCUCUAACGUAAAUUGUGUUCUGCAACUCAAAAAGCAUCUAGGAACAAGUGGGGGGAAAAUAUCCAGGGGGUGUGGGAAUUGUGUACUUGUGUGUGCUUGUUUUGCUGGGCAUGACCUGUGCCCUUGGCUCCCAGUAUGCCAGGAAGCAUUUCGCUUAUGGGAACCAUCGUGAUGUAUUAAUGCAGCCUGGCAAACAUAAGCUGUAAAUUUCUAAAAAAUAUUCUUCCACUAGCUGUGUUAACUCUUAAAAUCUUUUGAGUGUCCCUUUAAACAGGACCAAUAUUAAGGCUCCUAAAGCGUGCUCUCCUAAGUUUCACUUGUCAACUUCUCCUGUACCAUUUUGUCCCUGCAACCUGUAUGUCCCACACAUUGCUCCAUGUGUGGUGGUGGGACAGUAAUGGGAUAAUGUGCUACCCAUUGUGCUAAGAAAGCAGUCUGACUGAAUCUUUCAAUCUCUACAAAGGAUGGAGGUUAAAGGUCAGAUGGACAUUCCUCUAAGAGGUUUCCUACCUGCUCUGUUAAUUUCUAACAUUUCUUCUUGGGCGAGUGGGCAUGUGUCGCUCUGAGUACUGUGGUGUGGAGAGUUUAUGACAGAUUUACAAUAAUUGGGGGAUCCCAGCUGGGGCGGCCGAGGGAUAUGCUUCUUUUUUUUCUUUGGUAGCUUCUGCUUAGCCAUAGCUAAGGAGUAAUACAUUCCGAAAUUGUUCACAAUGACGGGUACAGGCAUGGCAAUGGUCAGCACGCCUGCAAGAGCACAGAGGGCCCCCACCAGCAUGCCUGACCAAGUCUGAGGAUACAUGUCUCCGUAGCCCAGGGUAGUCAUGGUGACAACAGCCCACCAGAAGCCAAUGGGGAUAUUUUUAAAGUGUGUGUGUUCGCUGGCACUAGGAUCAUUGGGUUUAGCACCUAUUCUCUCAGCGUAGUAGAUCAUUGUGGCAAAGAUUAAGACGCCCAAUGCCAAGAAGAUGAUGAGCAGCAAGAAUUCGUUUGUGCUGGCACGGAGGGUAUGACCCAAGACCCGCAGCCCUACAAAGUGGCGGGUCAGCUUGAAAAUUCGCAAGAUUCGUACGAAUCGGACGACUCGCAGGAAGCCCAAGACGUCCUUGGCAGCUUUGGAAGACAGGCCACUGAGUCCAACCUCCAAGUAGAAAGGCAGAAUGGCCACAAAGUCAAUGAUGUUCAAGGUGUUUUUGAUAAAUUCCAUCUUGUUCGGGCAGAAAAUGACCCUCAUUAGGAACUCAAAAGUAAACCAAACGACGCAGACCCCUUCAAUGUAGGUUAGGAAGGCCUCUGUCUCCGCCUCCCGAUAGAUGCGCACGUGGGUAUCAUUCCCAACAAUUUCCGUCUCCGUCUUGUUAACGAUGGGAUUAAAUCUCUCAUGGGUCUCGAGGCAAAAGGUAGUGAUGGAAACCAGAAUGAAGAAGAGGGAGGCAAAUGCGAUAUACUGUAGAGAGAAAAAACAGGAGAAAGCUGUUAGAUAGUAAAGUUUGUUUGUGAGGAGGGGAAAACACAAAGCAUAUAGAGAUUUGAUUGUGAGACAUUAAAAAAAAUAAUACCAGUAGAAAUGGCGCUGCCUGGCUGCAAGUGCUCAACACCCAUUUGGCAAAGCAACAGGGUCCAUGGCCAAGUUAGCUUAUGAUCAUUGGAGUGGCUUAUCUACAGUUUAGGAAACUUGUAUUGAACCGUCUUGUUCCAUUGUAAAAUAUUUUUUAGAGGUGCCAAUACCCUGUAGUUUGGGGACUUAUUUGAUGCCUCGUAUCAUGGGACAACCUGGACCUGAUAUAGAUCCAAGCUGAAUCAGGGGACUUGUACAGCCCUAAUUGUUUAAAUAGGAUUAAAAAGCCCAAUUAAGCAUAUUGUCAGUGGCAAGGGGGUGGCAGACAAGUGAGAUUCUUUGCCUGUGUCUCCUCCUUCACCCCCUCUCUUUGUGACCCACUACAGUGGUACCUCUGGUUACGUACUUAAUUCAUUCUGGAGGUCUGUUCUUAACCUGAAACUGUUCUUAACCUGAAGCACCAAUUUAGCUAAUGUGGCCUCCUGCUGCUGCCGCGCGAUUUCUGUUCUCAUCCUGAAGCAAAGUUCUUAACCUGAAGCACUAUUUCUGGGUUAGCGGAGUCUGUAACCUGAAGCGUAUGUAACCUGAAGUGUAUAUAACCCAAGGUACCACUCUACAGGUUUAAUUAGGGUUAAGAACUAUGAUUAAACACAGGGUCACCCGGCUGCUCUGGAUUACUCUGAGUGGACCUGACCCAGGACAAUCUGGGGAUGUCUUGACCUGCUUUGGGCCAAGCCCAGAUUGGUUCAGGAUCUGGGAUUUGUCCCAAGACAGGGCACAGCCCUAGCGUUUUGUUUCACUCUGCAUCUCGAAAUCAAAUUCUUUUCAGAAAAAGUAUAUGUUUAGAUUCUGUACUAAAGAGGAUAUGUGAAUCCCAUUUUGAACUCCUGCACAUUCUGAAAUAAUAUGCAGCUGAUGCAGCAAUUGGGCCUGAACUGGGCACCUUGCAGUUGUGCAAUGACAAGGAGGCUGGACCAGGAUGCAAUGUAUCACAGAUUGGGUAAAUCCCACCAUCUUCCCACUCUAGAAGGCCAGCUUAGUUGAGAGCUGGGGAGAUGGUCAUUUCCACUCAUUCGAUACACGCAGAUGCCCAGCUAUUGGGGGGGGGUUGGUCCUCGGUCGCUCACUGAACCAAAAAAUGAAUCUAAAGCACAUUGGCCAAGGUAACCCAGGUAAAUAGGACAAACCAAGGGUGGCAUCAGGAACAAGCAAGCAGGUAUAGUUUUGCUAAAACAAAUAGUUUCAAAAUAAAAUAAGGAGCAGCAGGCUAUCAAGGCUGGCUCAGAACUGAGCUCCCAAUUGCCCUAUUUUUAGAGUUGCAAAGUAGAACGAAUCACUUAGGGCGGAAGAAACUUUGCUGAAUAUGAAUUGAGGCUGACUUUUUACCACAGCCCUGUAGAGUCCUGACAUUUCCCAUAGGAGGCUUUAUCAGGGAAUUUUUCUUACGAAUAUAGGGUUCCUUUUUCUUUUGGUUGGGGGAAGUCCAUAAUCCACAUUUAUGCAUAUCCCACAUAAAUUGCCAAAUAGCUUCACUGCACACACAUGGAAUGUCCUGGCUUAUAUGCAAGUGGUGUAGGCAACACAAGGGAAGUAGCCCUGUAGAUGUUAAAAAACCCUGUUUUGCAUCCCAGAGGUGCUGGUCCACACACCUAGUUUCUGUAAGAUGCUAGAACAGCAGCACUGGAAUACCUCCUCCCAUUCAUGGCUUGUUGGCUCCUCCUUGUUUCCUAUGGAGGUCAGGCAGCCCUUUCUCCCAACUACAGGAACAUAGGAAGCUGCUUAGACCACUGGUCCAUCUAGUGUAGUUUUUUCUAUACUGACUGGCUGUGUCUGUCCAGGAUUUCAGGCAGGGCAUUCCCAGUUCUACCUGGAGAUGGCAGGGAUUGAACCUGGGACUUUUUGUACGCAAAACAGAUUCUCUACCACUCAGUUAUGGCUCUUCCCCCACUAAAGCUCCACUCAGGGAGGGGGAAGGUUGUGACCAUCCAGAUGUUUCCAGACUACAGUUCCCAUCAUCUCUGAUUAUUAUCCAUACUGGCUGGGACUGAUGGAUGGGAGUUGGAGUCCCAGCAGAUCUGAAGAGUCAUAGGGUCCCUAGACAGAAAUUCAGUUUUAAUCAUUUAUUUCUCUCCCUCCACACACAUUCAAAACCUGACACUAAUGCAGAAUGGCCUGCACAUAUCAAGAACACAUAUUUACUAAGUGUCUCUUUAAAUUCCUCUCUUGUAUUUCUUAUCUUGGGGGGGGGGGGGAGAGAACAAAAUGGUUUCAGAUCGAAUUCUCAUGGGCUUCAAUAGUUCUUCACCCAAAUAUGAUAUGUGGUCCAUUACUUUAUUAAUAUGGCAGUAUUCAUUCAGAAGUAAAUUAAUCUUUUUUUAAUGCUACUGCACUGUUAAAACCUCCUGAAGGUGAUAACAUUCUCCCAAGGACACCAAGGUUACUAAAUAUUCAUCUUUUCUGCUUCUGCCUGUAUCAAUAUAAUCAUUAGUGACAAAAGCAUUACUCAUAUUUUACUCCAGUAUUAGUACACUUUGCACGAGAACUUUCCCAAUUUAUCAGUUUUAAAAAUAGAAAUAACAAAUAUAACAACAAAAAAAGGACUUAUUCACACCUAUUACAACACUGCCCAGAAACGGGGAGUAAAAAUCCUAGAAUGUGGAACUAUGUAUGCAGUGACACCAUGACAUGUGAAACACAAAUAUUUUCUAGUGAAAGAUCAAUGCGCAGUGUGGUAGAAUAGGCCAAAUGUUACCUCAGGGAUAGGGCCAAAUGGAGUCUUCCAAAUAUCUCCAUAUGGCCCCCAAAACUCUGUCUAUAUCACAGCCCCUCUCCAAAGGUCAAACCUGUCACUCAGUGUCUUUGACUGAACUGUGUCCUUGAAAACUGAUAAUGCCCUUUGCUCACCUUGAGGGAGGUAGCUUACUGUACAAAGGCAAAAUCACAUUUAUUGCUCUCCCUGCUUUUGUCUGUGGUCCCACUCACCACUGGCAUGUGGCCCUCAGACAUCUGCCCCAAAGGCAAUGUGGCCCUUGGCCUGAAAAAUGUUACCCACCUUUGUGUUAGACUGAGAAGUCCUAGUUCAAAUCCUCAACUAGUCUUGAAGAUCACAAGAGGGUGUUGGGCAAAGUCACAACCUACCUCUUAUCAAACACCCCACAGAGGUUUGUUUUGUGCAUUAAAAAAGGGUUUGAGAGAAACGAUAGACAUUUUAGAGGCUAGGCUAAUAUUUCAAACUCUUCUCCAAAUACUGGAAAGGGGAACAGAGGGCAAUGGGAAGAAAUUUAAGAAGGACAAUAUAAAGUGUUGCCUAGCAAAAAUCUAAAAGCACAGGUAUAUGAUAUGGGCUAGCUGCCUUAGCAACUGUACUUCUGGGAAAGAGUUGGGAGUAAUACAAGUUAAGAAAUGCAUGGCUCAUGCCACUUUAGGAUUAUUAGCUGAACCCUCCUUGUUACUCUUCCAAAAUCCACAGCUGGGUUUUAAUACUACUACUACUAUUAAUUUGUAUCCAAUUUUUCUGCCUCAAAACAGGCUUAUGGGUGACAAAUAGCAACAAAGCUAUCCUCCCAGCAACACCCAUCUUUUGCCCUUCCCUCAUCUAGUAUUGCAUCUAUAUUUCCCCUGAAUGUCAGAGAAGAGCGUCUUACCAAGUUUACCAAAUAGCAACACUUUAGAUUUAAUAAGAUUAAUAUAGUUCUCAAGGGCAUUCAAAGAGCUUUACAUCCAUUUCUGUUCAGCAGCUAGUUUUUGGAGGGCUAUUUCAUAAGUGAGGUAAAUGAUUGAGGGUGAAGGCCUUCACACACAUAACACACAUGGCCUACUUCAGUAUCUGUCACUUCCCUUCUUUUUACAGUUCUUCAGCAAACCAUUUCCCUCCAUCUAGGUCCCACCCUGUGGGAACUGGUUAUAAUGCUGAGAGACACUUGAGGGAGGCUCAUGCAAAGCAUAAAAAUGCCUAAGGCUGAUUCUUGAAAUCCCACCAACCUCUUUCUGGUCCUCUGAAUUUGCCCAUGAUAUGUAUGUGCCCAGUGGUGUACAUCAUACUGAUAUACUGUUGUGGUAGUGUCUGGAGCAGGACCAGCUUUAAUGUGUGAGGCAAUUCUUGCCUCUGACAGACCCUUGAAAACAAUUAUUUCAACAUUCAAUGCAAAUGCCUGCUUUGUCUUGAAAAAUGAAAACAACUUUUUCAAAGCUGAAAGAACAACAUAUUCCUUCUGGGGGAGGCCAGCAGCAACCAAAUCAAGACCAGUCACACAUGCAUUUCCAAACUGUUGUUCAUCCUCCCUUGUGAAACAUAUUUCCCCCUAUGUUGUCAUUCUCCUUUUCUAGGCUAGUCUUCUCUGUUGCUCCCUUUUCUAUGAAGGAAGAGAGGCUGCACACGCACCAUACAUUUAAAGCAUAUUUUCCUUACCCCUAUCCUUUAUGAAUCCUGGGAGCUGUAGUUUGUUAAGGGUGCUGGGAAUUUUAGUUCUGUGAGGGAUAAACAAAGACUAUGUUUGCUGUCAAGCGAUGGCUGUUUCCACCUGCCUUGCCUAGGAGCAUUCAUAAGGGAGCUGUUCUGGAAGACCUGUGAGGGGAGACCGACUGUGUUUGCUAUCAGAGGAUGGUUGCCUUGCCUCACCCUCCAGUCCUCUCACAGCAGCUGAUUCCAGAACUCUGAGGAGGCUUUCCCACCUUUUAGGUUGAAGCAUAAAUGGUGGGGAAGGGGAGAGCCCUAUGCACUAUUGCCAUCUGCUUUGUUGCUAUUUUUGGAUAAGAAGUUAUUGGUCUUUUUUUUCUUGACCUACUACUACCUCACUGAAAUGUUGAUGCAUUUAAAAUUAAUUGCUAAUAGCUGCCGCCAAUUGCUUUCUAAUGGGUACUCCUUGCAGCUGAAACCCCCAGGGCUUUCCUAUAGGUCAGGCAUAGACAAACUCGGCCCUCCAGAUGUUUUGGGAGUACAACUCCCAUCAUCGCUAGCUAACAGGACCAGUGGUCUGGGAUGAUGGGAGUUGUAGUCCUAAAACAUCUGGAGGGCCGAGUUUGCCUAUGCCUGCUAUAGGUAGACAUAGAAGCCCAAAUCCCCAAUGCAUUACAAUGUGUAGACCAGGAAAAUGAAAGUCCCAAAGCGCUUGAAUGAGUGGACCUAGUGUGCAAAACCCCCUAUGCUUUCCGGUGGGUAGACCAAGUGGCACAAAAGUUCCAGUGCUUUUUUUAUAGGCCCCUGGACACCAGGUCUACUGCCCCAUGCUGUGGUGGGGUUGAAGAAGUGGUGUUGAGGCAUCAUUGCUGACUUUCCUUCCCCUAAAUACAUGUGACAACCCUAUACCUCUCAGAAAUUGAAGGCUGAUUCAUACAUGCAGGAAAUUACUUAAUAUAUCAGUGCUUUGAUAUGGCACAUUUGAUGACUCACUUAGCUGAAUGCGUGAAAAGUAAUGUGUUUGAGGUGAUGUGAGAUCUGUGGCGUUAGAUCAGUGUCGACUCAUUCACACAUGCACAUUAUCACUUGGUGUCACAGUUGUUAAGUAAAGAACGUUCAUGUGCAUAACCAACUCUUUGUUGAUACCUGUUCUACACAUCUACCUCCUUAUUAUAGGAAUAGUGAACCUGUGAUCAGGGCUGUCUUAAGCAUAUGCAGCGUUGGGGUGCAAAGACCUGCCCGGUGCCCUCCCAAGUUGCCCAGUCCCAGGCUCGUAGGAAGGUGAAGCCGACCAGCCACCUCAACGUCUCGCUGGCUCAGUCGCCCCAAAACUCGUGGCGCAGAGCCAUCAGCAGCAGAAGAACCCACUGUGCCACUCCAAUCGAUGGGCGGGCUCUUCCCCUGACUCAACUCUUGGGCCCUGGACUCUCGGCCUGGAGCCCCUGAGAGCCUGGUGCCCGGGUGCCCUGCACCCCUAGUGCCUAUGGGUAAGACGGCCCUACCUGUGAUUUUUCUGGAUAUUGCUCAACCAUAACUCCCAUAAUUCCCUGUCAUUUGUCAUGCUAGCUGUAGCUGAUGGGAUUAGGAAUCUAACAAUGUUUGGAGGGUCGCAGGCUUCCCCUCUUGCUUUAGUAAAUGGUCAUGAAAAGACUUUUAGAGCCAAUUUGAAUAUAACAUUCUUUGUAAUCUCAAUGAUAUUUCUUCCCAUAUUGCUAAGUUGGAUCACCUUCAAUCAUCCCCUUAGGUCACUGGUCAACAUUUUGGUAAAGGAUAGGAGGUUGCAGCAAAUUAUUCAACCGCAAUGAGAACAGCAUUCAAGCACCCAGAACAUCAGGAAGCAAUGAAAGCGUUUGCUCUCCACUGAUGUGUAUGUGCCCAGGUGCCACAGCUACUGGUGGUGCUACUUGCUGUUCUUUACCCUACAUUUUAAAAUAAAACUCUACAUAAGAUUCUCCAAAUCUGCAGGGAACAAGCAGGGAGGAGCAAGGAAGAGUUUUUUGAACAUGAAUUUGCAUCCCCAGAUAAAUAAUGCAAAAAGUGAUGUUUGGAAAGGAGAGUUGAUAUGCAUGCAUAAUCUCCAAUUACAGCUGGCAGCAAAUUGUAAUGCAGAUAGUUCAAUUGAGCUAUUUUAAGAGAAGCGGAAAGCGAGGCUCAUGCUUUCCUUGUUAGCGAAGUAUACCAUUGCCUCUUUUAUAUCACCUUCUGAUUAGAGGAACAAAUUAUUUUAAAAAACCUCAUCCUCUGCUGACCUUUGUGAGGAUUCUCACAAAGAUCCUAGGCACUUGUAGCUCAUAGGUCCAGGAGGGGAGAACUUCUUCUGACUGAAGGGAAAGAGGAAAGCAGCCAGACAUAGUGAUUGGUAUUGAGCUCAAUGUUCUCAAGGGCACAUAUCAGGUCUUGGGGUCUCUCUCUCUCUCUCUCUCUCUCUCUCCCUCUCCCUCUCCCUCCCAUUUUUAGUUUUCUUGGGUAUCUCAAAUUACAAAAUCCAGCAACAUACACUUUUUUGCUCCCCAUUUCCUCUUUCUUUGAAUUCAUUGUUGUCUGCUUUCUUUUCCAUCCUUCCCUCUGUCAAACAUACUGCCGUAUUCAUUCCUUCAUUCAUUUCCUUAGGUAUGCAGCAUUAUUAUUAUUCUUCCCCACCUUUUCUACUGACAGGACUUGGCAACUUACAGAUAAAAACAAGAAUGGCUAAAAACAGAAAAAUCAAUCACUAAAAUACAAUUAAACAUUGAUAGAUUUAAUAUACUGUAUUUUUCUGUGUAUAAGUCUAGGUUUCCCCCCUAAAAAAUAAUGCCCAAAAUUAGGGGGCAUCUUAUACACAGAGAGUGCUGAGGGUGGAUUUUCUUAAAUCUGAGUCCCCCCAAAUAGGGGGUGUUUUAUAGGCAGAAAAAUACAGUACAUAUAUAAAAUCUAUUUUAAAACACUUGGUAGUGUGGGACGAGGGGUGGUUGAAGAUUCUGCUGCUUGCUCAGAAACAGCUGGAAGCUUUGCAAAUGUUCCAGCUGACAUUAUGUUAAUAGAGUAUUCUGAGCAUUCAGUGUGACUAUUUUCACAAUUUCCACAAGCUGAAAGGCACUUCCAAACCACCACCUCCACCUUCCCUAUGACCCCCAAAUUGACUUUUGGAGCUGAGGAAGGGAGUAGUGGAUGCUCUCAGGGCCGAGCCAUGAUGAAAGGUUUUGACAAUGGUCUAUAAUAAGUAUAAAAAGAAUAUUAUUUCAGACAUAGACCAACUCUUGUAUCAGUUACAACCAGUCAAAAAUCAAAAUGCCAACGAUGUCAUGGAGCUAAGGCAGAAAGUCAGAAAUUUGAGUUUGCAGGCCCUAAAACAAUAUGCUCAGAGACAAAAUUACACUCAAACUGAUUGACAAAGGGCUAAAAAGGCAGAUGACUUUAUAGACCAGUAGAUCGGUAGACAUUUACAGACCUUCUAAAGUCAAAGGGGCAUAAAUUGAGAUGAUGGCUCAGUCACACACAAACCAGUUUGUGCAUCAGACAUCCUAGGGUACCGAGGAUAAUGCUCACAUGGCCAUGAGCAACACAGUUGUAUAAAGAGCCAUUUCUCAGACUCUGACAAGUUGCCUCUGCCUAGAGCUUGUCCAGCUGUUUGAAUUACAUGCAGUAUUCCACAUGGGAAAUUAAAUCACUUCUGUGCACAGGAUACCAGGUGCAGACAAAGCCAAAAAUCCCCAGCUAAAGUAGAAAUAUGAAGCGCUCUCUUUACUACUGCGGUGUCAUUGUAUGUUCGAAAUGCUCUCUUCAUUGAGCUAUGGUAUUUGCAUAUCCUGAAACUAGGGCUGAAGUCAUAAUUUCACUGGAUUUCAUGUAGAUACAAGAGCCUAUUGUUCAAUCAUAGAGAAUCCAAAAGACAAGAUGUACUAAUAGAGCAGAUACAUUCAAACUGAAGGCUAUUCUUCAGUUUUCAUAAACCCAACACCUACCAUGCCAUUUUAAAACAAAGGUGUCUUUAAAACAAGGUGAGUUCAGAAGACCUGCUGAGUCCUCUUGCUUAAGGGAAAUGGUCUCAAACACAAAGGCAAUACAUACUGAAGCAUGGUGUAGACAAGCCCAUAUUCAGGCUGAGAGAAGGACAGAGCUCCGAGAUUUUCUCUGUAAGAAUCUGGGGUGCUGGCAGUUCCCCCAGAAAAUUGAUGGGGCAGAGAGAAUUUCGGACAUGUGCGAAAGUUAAGCUGCAUUUCACCUUUGCUUAACCUGCAUACAUGUUUAAAUAAAGCACAUAUUACAAAACACUUGUAAACCUCCAGUUAUCUAAUUUCAAAGGAAAGAGAAGCCGAGGACAUGUUGCGUCCCUGGAAUUAUCAUUGUUUGGCGAACAGGACACGUGUGAGUUUGCUCUCUGUGACUGAGUGUACCGUGCAGAUAGAAGUGCCAAGGAGCAGAUCUCACCACCGCCUGACUCCCCGCAGUGCAUAGAAACAGAGGUAAAUAUGUGUUUGCUGUUACAUAACAUAUGCGACAACCUUCACCUCCUUUGGAGAUUGUUAUAAAGCUUCCUCAGUUGCUAGAUCAGAACGUGACAGAUGAAGAACACUGGCGAUGGAAAUGCAUGAACUGAAAUAAGGAGCAGCCAAUUAAAUGGGUUAUGUGUGGGAGUUCCAUUUCCCACGGCUCAACACUUGUAGAGAGCUGGAGAUUCCCCAUCCCUUUCUUAGAUGUAAUGAACAUGUCAAUUUUUAAUUAUUAGAAUGUUUAUAAACUGCCAGCUCAUAAAAAAAAUCAAGGUGAUGGACAAUAAACUUCAUUGAAACAUCUUAAAUUUAUGAGAUCAUAAAAUACAGAAUAACCAACAUUGCAUCAAAUUAAUUCUCUAAAAAUGCUAGGUGAAACAAAAAACCUUUUCAGCAAGCAAUGAUGUAACAGAAUGGAGGAGCCUGUCUGAUUUCAAAAGCAACAGCCCCCCAAAUUACCAGUUGCCACUAAGCCAAAAGCCUUCAUUUGUGCAGAAACUAAAUAGCCAUGAAACAUCUAGGCAGGCCUCAUACCAUUGGACGAUUUGGCUCAGUACUGUCUGCACUGAUUGGCAGUUGUUCUCCAGGCUAUCAGGAAGGUGUCUUUCCCAGCCCUACUUGAGCGAUGCCAGGGACUGAACUUGGAAACUUCUGCAUGCAAAACAAGUGUUCUACCAUAGAUCAGCUCCUGGCCUGCUCUUUGUGCACCUAAAUAUCUCCUUGUUUUUAAUCAAGAUGCUGUUUGGAUAAUAAUUUUUCCAGAUGGUGCUUGUUUAUUCAGGGGUUGAAUUUAACGUCGUGCUAUUAAGAAUGUUCCAUCAGCACAAGCAUUUAUGCUUGCCAGACAGAACAAUCUCCCUCUCCUCCCCCAACAUGCUGUUCUGAGGGUUAUACUGACCACCCUUGGGCAUUCUAAGCAUGAGAGGACGAGGAGGAGGAGGAAGAGGAGGAGGGAAUCCCAUUGCACAAGUGGGACUUGUGCUGGCUUCUGCUAGCACUACUGUUUAGUCAAAUCCAGCCCUCAAUCUCUGCAGCUAGGUGGCCUUUAUUAAGAAAGAGCAUGAUUAGGAAUGCCAACUCUCAGGAUUUCACUAGCUGCAUUUAUAGCACAGAGCAGUCAUUGCAAAUCAAUGCUAGCUUACUAUAGACACCUGGUUCCUUUGUACAGGAACUGGUAUCCAUUUGCUAUGAAUGGUAAUAACUGGUUCAUAUACUGUGCACAAUAAUAGUUCACAAUAUGAAUUCGGGUCUUUUUUUGUUCUGAAACCAUUGGGUCAAAUCAGAGCAAAGUAUUGAUUUUGCUCUGAUUUGACCCAAUGGUUUCAGAUGUCUGAUGGCAGCAACAGGCAUCUGGCAACCCACAGGCCAAACCUGGCCUAAGAAUGAUUCCCGGCUUUUGCCACAACAGAGAGGAAAACAUGUGAGAAAUAACACAGCAUUCAGUAUGUACAGGUUUCCCAUAGGUGCUUUCUCACUCCUAGGACAAGCAAAAUGCUAUUCUGUUUCCUUGUUGCUCAUAUUUCAGUUUUAUAAUGAGUAGCACUGUUGUUUUUCUAACUGAUAGUAUUUUUAAAAUUAAUAUUUGUAUGUUUUAUGAUUUUUGAAAGCCCAUCUCAUAACCUUUGAACAUUUCAGGUUCGCAAUACAGCAGAAUCAAUACAGACUCUUCCAAUUGCCCUGCACACAGCAC